GUACUCACUAUAGUAGUGCUCUAUACUAAACUUGGAAUGAUACAGAGAAGAUUAGAAUGGGCCCUGCACAAGGAUGACAUGAAAAUUUUGUGAAACAUUCCAUAUUUUU
This 109-nucleotide small nuclear RNA is filed under the name Castor canadensis (American beaver). Lineage: Eukaryota; Metazoa; Chordata; Mammalia; Rodentia; Castoridae. The record is from RNAcentral.